This 370-nucleotide ribosomal RNA is filed under the name uncultured bacterium. RNAcentral's name for it is "bacterial SSU rRNA". It matches the Rfam family "Bacterial small subunit ribosomal RNA", at positions 29 to 424 of the family's 1533-position model. The record is from RNAcentral.
AAUGAACGCUGGCGGCAUGCCUAACACAUGCAAGUCGAACGAAGCCUUCGGGCUUAGUGGCGCACGGGUGCGUAACGCGUGGGAAUCUGCCCUUAGGUUCGGAAUAACAGUUGGAAACGACUGCUAAUACCGGAUGAUGACGUAAGUCCAAAGAUUUAUCGCCUAGGGAUGAGCCCGCGUAGGAUUAGCUAGUUGGUGUGGUAAAGGCGCACCAAGGCGACGAUCCUUAGCGGUCUGAGAGGAUGAUCAGCCACACUGGGACUGAGACACGGCCCAGACUCCUACGGGAGGCAGCAGUGGGGAAGUAUUGGACAAUGGGCGGAAAAGCCUGAUCCAGCAAUGCCGCGUGAGUGAUGAAGGCCUUAGGGUU